Molecule: ribosomal RNA, 253 nt
Filed under: uncultured bacterium
Lineage: Bacteria
Description: partial 16S ribosomal RNA
Rfam family: Bacterial small subunit ribosomal RNA
Source: RNAcentral
UACGGGGGGUGCGAGCGUUGUCCGGAAUCACUGGGCGUAAAGGGCGCGUAGGUGGUUUGAUAAGGGUGUGGUGAAAGUCCGGGGCUCAACCCCGGAUCUGCCGUGCCGACUGUCAAACUCGAGGGCUGUAGAGGCAGACGGAAUUCCGGGUGUAGCGGUGGAAUGCGUAGAGAUCCGGAGGAAGACCGGUGGCGAAGGCGGCAUCCUGGACCGGUAUUGACGCUGAGGCGCGAAAGCCAGGGGAGCAAACGGG